This 274-nucleotide ribosomal RNA is filed under the name uncultured bacterium. RNAcentral's name for it is "partial 16S ribosomal RNA". It matches the Rfam family "Bacterial small subunit ribosomal RNA", at positions 523 to 796 of the family's 1533-position model. The record is from RNAcentral.
AUACGGAGGGUGCAAGCGUUAUUCGGAAUCACUGGGCGUAAAGGACGCGUAGGCGGGUUGGCAAGUCAGAUGUGAAAUCCUACAGUUUAACUGUAGAACUGCAUUUGAAACUGCCGACCUAGAGUAUGGGAGGGGGAGAUGGAAUUAGUGGUGUAGGGGUAAAAUCCGUAGAUAUCACUAGGAAUACCGAAAGCGAAGGCGAUCUCCUGGAACAUAACUGACGCUAAGGCGUGAAAGCGUGGGGAGCAAACAGGAUUAGAAACCCUAGUAGUCC